AUUGAUUUUCAUUCUUUAUAUAACUCGAUUGGUGCAACCCCUACUUUGGAUGGAUGCAUUAUCCUUGUCUGUCUUUUGAACAAAAAGAUGGGAGAAAGACCAACCAAGAAAGGGCCAUUUAGUAAGGAAUGUAUUUGGAAAACUGCUGGCUGGGAGGUGGGGAUGUUUGAAUAUCAAAGCUGGGUUGUACUGAGUUGGGUCUUUGCUUUAUGAUAUUAUUAAAGGAUAAGUCAGGG
Molecule: long non-coding RNA, 236 nt
Filed under: Elaeis guineensis (African oil palm)
Lineage: Eukaryota; Viridiplantae; Streptophyta; Magnoliopsida; Arecales; Arecaceae
Description: long non-coding RNA (EGUI_LNC026420)
Source: RNAcentral